AUUGAACGCUGGCGGCGUGCUUAACACAUGCAAGUCGAACGCGAAAGGGACUUCGGUCCUGAGUAAAGUGGCGCACGGGUGAGUAACGCGUGGAUAAUCUGCCCUUAUGAUUGGAAUAACAGUUGGAAACGGCUGCUAAUACCGGAUACGCUCAAAAUGAACUUUUUGAGGACAGAUGGCCUCUGCUUGCAUGCUAUCGCAUAAGGAUGAGUCCGCGUCCCAUUAGCUUGUUGGCGGGGUAACGGCCCACCAAGGCAACGAUGGGUAGCCGAUUUGAGCGGAGGAACGUCCACACUGGAACUGAAACACGGUCCAGACGCGUACGGGAGGCAGCGGUGGGGAAUAUUGCGCAAUGGGCGAAAGCCUGACGCAGCGACGCCGCGUGAGGGAUGAAGGUUUUCGGAUCGUAAACCUCUGUCAGAAGGGAAGAAACUACGUUGUGCUAAUCAGCAGCGUACUGACGGUACCUUCAAAGGAAGCACCGGCUAACUCCGUGCCAGCAGCCGCCGUAA
RNAcentral lists this ribosomal RNA (512 nucleotides) under uncultured bacterium. RNAcentral's name for it is "partial 16S ribosomal RNA". It matches the Rfam family "Bacterial small subunit ribosomal RNA", at positions 30 to 523 of the family's 1533-position model. The record is from RNAcentral.